RNAcentral lists this long non-coding RNA (7393 nucleotides) under Canis lupus familiaris (dog). RNAcentral describes it as "lncRNA (ENSCAFG00845024475.1)". The record is from RNAcentral. Lineage: Eukaryota; Metazoa; Chordata; Mammalia; Carnivora; Canidae.
UUUUUUUUUUUUUUUUUAAGAUUACUUAUUUAUUCAUGAGAGACACGUGGAGGCAAAGAUGUAGGCAGAGGGUGACGCAAGCUCCUCAAAGGGAGCCUGAUGUGGGACUCGACCCUAGGACCCCGGAACCACGCCCUGAGCCGGAGGCAGAUGCUCAACCACUGAGCAAUCCAGGCGUCCCUGAAGCAUAAACGUUUUUUAAUUUUGAUAAUUUUAUCUAUUGUGUGUUGCUGUUUUUGGCGUCAAAUUUAAGAAACCACUGCCAAAUCCAAAGUCACAGACAUUUACUCCUGUGCUUUCUGCUAAGUUUUAUAGUUUUAGCUACUACAUUUAGGUUUUCAAUCCAGUUUAAUUUUUGUAUAUGAUGUAAGGUAUGAGCCCCACUUUUUUUUCCCUGUCAAUAUCCCAUUGUCUCAACACCAUUUCUUUAGAAGGUUAUUCCUCUGUUGAAAGGUCUUGGUACCCUUUUUGAAAAUCAAUUAACUUUAAAUUUGUAGCAUUGUAUUUCUUGUGUUGAAUCUGCGUAUCAAUUUGGAAAGUACUGCCAUCUCAGUAAGUGUUUUGAUUCACAAACCAGGGAUGGAUGUUUAAUUUCUUUCAGCAAUAUUUUGCGAUUUUCAGUGUACAAGUCUUGCAUUUCUUUGGUUAGAUUUAUUCCUAUUAUAUUCUUUUAAAAUGGAUGCUAUGUAAUUUUCUUUACAUGUUUCGUAUCUUUUAUUGCCAAUAUACAGAAAUGUGAUAAAAAUGUUUUUGUAUAGAAACCAUACUACUGAGUUUCAUGAAAUAAGAGAAAGGAUAAUUUCUUUAAUCACUUAAUAUAGAUUUUUGCUUCUUUUGAAUCUGUACUAUCCACUGUGUUGAAGACAUAUAUAUACUUUAACUUCUUUUCAAAGACUGGAUGAACUUCCUCUCAGGAAACCCGUGAUUCUCAGUUUAUUUCUUAGUGAUGGUGGCUAUUUUAAAAAAGCCAACCUUCUUGAAACAGGAAUGUAAAAUGUUCUUAGGAGCCUUUAAUAUAGAAAGAGACGAGCAUUUGACACAACCAUCUCUUUGAUCAGUUUCUAGAAUUUCAAGAGUAUAAAGGAAUGAAUGGGAGAAGUAAAGGAGGCAAAAAAUCUAUAAUGUGAAUAUAAGAAAAAUAUAAAAUUAAAUAAUUCUUUUAUGUUUUAAAUGUAACUAGAUGUUUGUACUAAAUACAUACAUUUUAUUAAUUUUAAGAACUAAUAGAGUUACAUUUUUCAAAAAAGCAUGAGUAGCCAUUGUUAUUAUUUUGGGACCAUACAAAAUGUCCAAAGUAUAUUUUAUUUGCAAUUUUCAUUCUAACCUGUAGAAUAAUGUGAGAAAGCUAAAACAGGUAUUGCAAAACACCAUUAUACAAGGAGCAAAUUGAAAUCAUACAUAUUAUUGAGUGAUUUUCUAGAUCCAAAUGAGGUCUCAGGUUUUCCAACUCCUAAAUGCAGACAACUUUAUGAUUUAGUUGUGUAGAAACAAUGUACGCAAUUCCAAAAAAUAUUAAAACAUAUUUGAAAAUGACUAACUCAAAGUAAUCCCUUGAUCAUAGUACAAAGAUACAGAAAGUGCUGAGUACUCAAGAUUAAGAUUUAUCUGACGAUUUCACCAAGAGAGAGUGCCACCUAUGGAUUUAAAGAAGGAAGACUUAGUAGGAUUAAAAGGAUCUUUAUAGAUUUUGUAUUUUGUUUCCCAAGGCUAAGUCUGCACUAGAAUUCCCUCUAAAGUUUAUUUUAAAAGGGAGUCCCGGGCCUUGUCACUGUACCAUGUGUUUGAUAGUCGGAGUGGAGAAUUUUUUUUAACACUCCAUUCUUCUAUAUGAUAAAAUUAGUUUUGGGAAGCAUCAUGAAACUAGUAGAAGUAAUGGCCACAAGAGACAGUGAAAAUUUUUUUUGAAAUUUCAUAUGAAUUCCAUACUUGAAACUAAUAUUACACUGUAUACUAGCUGGAAUUUAAGUAAAAACUUGCAAAGAAAAAGAGAUUUCAUAUGAUCAAGGCAGUCAAUAAUUAGAAGUUAAAAUAACUAUUACAAAGGGGAAAAGAAAAGCACUUUUCAAUAGUUUUUGUAUCUUCCUAAGAGUUUUUUAACACUGAUCUUGUUAGCAGAUCAAUAUGGCAUUUUAUGCAGAUAAUUGUCUAGUAACUGAAGUAAAUUUUAGUAAAGUUGGUACAUCAAAAGAUACUUUAGGGUAACUACUAUUAAGGACAAAUCCAAUUUUAAAGAUAUUCUUUAAAUUCUGCAAGUUGUUUCACAAGAACUAAAUUUUGCAUGUACCAAGUAGUCCCACAGAAUGACACAAUGAGAUGACAGGAUGGAGUUAAAAGCCCACGACUAUAGAAGGGACAGAACAGUGACUGGAGAGGAGGCUAAGUAGGUGCAGAUGGGUUUGCAGACUUUAAGGCAGAAGGGUGAACAAGUUUUUUUCUCAUAGCUUCUAUUUCCUCAGUGAUGUAGGAGGUGAGAUUAUUUACCCAGAAUGAAAGAAUUGCAAAGGGGGAUGGGUUAGGGAUUUAAGAACAGUUUGACAGUUUGACAGAGUAAAAGGAGCUGACCACUAGGGAAACAGAGCACAGAAGAGUGAGGCAGGGAUUGGAUGUGAGGUUUCCAGAUGACCAGUUCGAUGCUCCUUUUAAUAAACCACAUUGAACAGCAAUGUAAUGGGACAGAUGCUAGCUACACUUGUGGUAAAUAUAGCACAAUAUUAUAAACUUGCCAAAUCAAAGUUGUACACCUACAACUAAUGUAACGUUGUGUCAAUUAUACUCAAAUUAAAAAAUAAACAAACCGCAUUGAAAGAAUGCCUCCUGGGGAAAGUUUUUUUGCAUGCAUGGACAGCAGGUAGUGUUAACUGAAACAAAAGGAUGAUCUGAGGAAGUAAUAUCAAAAUUAGAAAAUUUUGAAUUAAAAAAAAAUCUUGAAUUUUGUGUACAACAAUGUAGAAUCACUUGAAGUCGCAAGAGUAAGGACACAUUUUUAAGGAUCUUGAGGUUUGGAAAAUGCAGAAAUAUGUACACACAGAAAGGAAAUAUCGCCUAUUUUUACUUAUUUAAAAAGCUUCGUUAGACUUCAUUUGAAUGUUUACCAUUGCUCUCGUACAUACAUAAAAAGGAAAAUAUAAGUAAAUAUUAUACAAGUAAUAUAAGUAAAUAAAAUACAUUGCUUUUUCCAUACGAUUCAUCCUUUUCACCAACCAGUGAAAGCAUUGGCAACAGGUAUUUCCUGUGAAUCCAUAACGGAGCAAGUCAUGGUGCUACUCUCCUGUACUGGCUUUGCAAUUCUUUAGACAAAGCAUGCUUUGGACUGCCUUUCAUUAUGCUGUCCAACAUGUCUGAUUCAUCAUCUUUCCCAUCCCUCUCCACAAACUUUUGAUACCUUGUGUUCAAAAGAACGCUCCACCAUUGUUCUUAGGACUUUUUUUCUAAGCUAGUGUUUUUGAUAUCUUGAAUAAACAGGUAAUGGAGGCAGUUGGUUAACAAGAUUGUACGGCCCUAUCCAUUGUUAAAUGCACACAAAUUUCAGAGAUGUCAACAUAUGAAAAAAAUAGUGCAACUUAAAAAUAGGACAGUAGUUCUAUAUUUUAAUUUAGAAUAUUUCCCUUGUCAUUAGUUUUCUAAAAUACAAUUUUAAAGGCUGCAAUUCAUUUCAUUAUGGGUGCACCAUGCUUUAGUCUGUGGUUCUGUGAAGGGCGUGACUGGCCCUUUGGGAACAUCACAACGUGUCCAGAGACAUUUUGGGCUGUCAUCACUGAGGAAGCCACUGGAAUCUAGUGGGUAAAGGUUAGAAAUGUUAAGCAUCCUGAAACGUAGACGGCGGCCCCUUAUAACAAAUUAUCUGGCCCCAAAUCCUAUUAGUGCUGAGAUUCAGAAGCCUAGUGCUAGACUUAAAAUUUUUCAGUUUUUCCCUCCUUCAGGAAACCACCAUAUUAAGGGACAGCAUAGUAUAGUGUUUAAAGAUAUUGCCUGUUGAAUUGGCUGGGCUCAUAUUAGCCAUAACAGUUACUAGCUGAAGAACAUUACCUAGAAGGAAUUAGUAAUCUAACUUCUCAAUUCCCCAUCUGUGAAUAUAGAGAAAAUUAAUUGAAAGUGGAUAGUACUAUCAAGACAAAUAGGUUUAUAAAUGUAAAGCCCAUGUCUGUCAUCUAAGAUACACUUACUAGUGUUGGACUGGCUUCAGUUAGGUUAUGAUUUUUUUUUUUAAUAAACAUAAUCACAAACUUCACUAUGGAGGGGUGUAGUCUAAAUAGGAAGAACUGAUGGAAAAAUCAGAAGCAAAGAAUUUCAAGGUUUGGGGCCUAUGUCACCAUUCCAAAAAGUUUCAAGUCACUGGAAGUUUGUAAAAUCAAUUUAGUGGGUCAAGACUAGCAUUGGAACAAAGAUAGAUUAGAAAAUAUCAUGGUGCAUUCCAAAACUCUUUUCAUAAAAUAGGGUUUCAUUGAUAGAAGCUUCAAUGUAUGCACCAGGUCACAAUGUUAAAAUGUAUUUUGUAACGUGAGUCACAAUAAAAGACCUUUGAAAGGCACCACCCUUAGUCCAACUACCACUUGAUGUUUCAGUCUAAUCUAUAUCUGCAUGAACUGAUGAGCUUCUGCUUUAAGACAGUCCGGCUGUAUCUUUGGACAUUUUAUUAAAAAAGCUCUUUAAGGUAAUGAGAAACAAACUUAAUGUGAAAAAUGACUAAAAAUAUUUUGUCUCAAUCUAUCGCUUUAAAUCUGUUGGGAAAUUAAGCAUGCUGGAAGUACUGUAUGUGCCGUGGCAUUGGAAACAGUGUUGCUCACUAGCUCAUCAAGCUCAUCACUAGCUUUGAAGAUAAAUAGCCAUAAGUUUACUAUCAUCAUUAUCAUGAAUAAUAUGUGAGUACCAACAGACCAAUUGAGUAAGGCAGCUUUAAUGUCUAUAAACAAUACUAAAAACAUUAACUUAAUAACCAUAGUGCCAGAAGUCUCUAAGUAGUACAUGAGCAUGUUUUAUGCAUCAUUGGCUAUGAUCUUAAAAACAAAAUCCAAAACUUUUUAAAAGGAGUUAAUCUUUAAAAAUGAUUAACUGAUUCAUUCUUUGAAAAAAGUCAAAUUAUGUUAAUCGCAGUUGCUGGCUGGCUGAAUAUAACCUAAAAGAAAAUGAGGGUAGUGACACUAUGUUGAGAAAUACCUAAUGCAUGCAUAAUAAAAUCCCAAAUCAGGCAGAGUUAACAAAAUUACACUGUAAACUGUGAUCUCCCCAAUAUCGUGAUGUAUUCUGGAUAAGGAAUUAAUGUUAUUUAAAUCUGUUACUACAGUGAUCUUUGAAUGAUCCCUUAUACAAACCUUUUAGAUAUUUGAGAAGAGGAAUUUCCCCUAAUAAUUUCUUAGUCAACCUUCAAUAUAAGUAUUUUAUUAAUUGCUAUGUGCCAAGCCCUCUAGAAAGUUCUAGGAACUUAAAAAUAGAAAAAAUUCAUAGUUCCUAAACUUAAGAGUUUCAUAGACUUAGAGAAACUAAAAUUUAUAGUUGUGUAGUAUGAAGCAGAGGUAGGUAGUAGGAUAUGUGGAUCACUAUUAUUGCCCAGAAGUUAGAAGUUGGCUGAUGUCCAAGCUGUUUUUAAAAAUGACUUUGAAAAAAUGGGCAAAAUGGGAUGAACAAUCGUGGAUGAGGAAACUCCUAAGUGUAAAAGGCAAAAGUGCCAGGAGAAAUAGCAGGAGAGAUUGGUUGCUACAUAAUGGGUUGGAUGGAGUAAACAGUAAAGACUAGUUGAGGUGAGUCCAAGUAUAAAUUGAAGGCCUGAAUAAAAGUAUAAAGCAUUUUCAGCAAAUGUUUGUACGUACAACACUUUACCCCACAUUGGGGAAACGGUUCCUCUAUUAAAAAAGGACUCUAUUUCAACAUGUUAGACAAAUAGUAAAAGUUGUAACAUAAUAUUCUAAAGGAACUACUGGCAUGUUAGGGAAGGACUCUGAGAAAGUGACACUGAAAUGGAGACCGGAAGGAAAAAUAAGAUUUUAAAGGUCUGAUUUGAGAUAUUACAGUGUUUCUCUGUAGACUGUGAAAUCCCUACAUACUCCUGAAGAGAACCAGUCUCUUUUGCCCACACUAUAAAUCUAUUAAAAGACAUAAAUGUUUAUUAAAAUUAAAAACUAAUCAUGUAAAAAAAACUAAUCAUGUAAUUGAGGACAAGAUUAAGUCUCUUAUCUCUUCUCCCAUAGAGAAUAUUUGCACCAUUUAUGUCAUAUUACAAUUACUUGAGAAUUUGGAAGAGAAUCAAAUGAAAGGACAGAUUUAAGAGUGAAGAGGGAGCCACUGCAAAAGGGGAGUUAAAAGAUUAUAACAAGUGCUUUAAAAAGUGCAAAUAAAAUGUCAGCACUGUCCAUUCAACACAAUAAUUUGGAGGUCCUUAUUAACUUGUUUACAAUUUCAGUGAGAAAAGAACAGUAGGUGGACAUGAGGCUGUAGAUUGUGGAGUUCCUAUCAAGAAGCUUGGUAGAGUAAUGUUGCAUGAAGGAUUUUUGCUGCUUUAAUUUACUAAGGAAGGGAGAGUGUAGAGGGUUUUCAAUACCUUCCCUAAAAAAGAAAAUGUAACUUGUUGAAACUUAUUACUGCAUACCUUAAGCAGUAACUUUUUUUUUUUAAGAUUUUAUUUAUUUAUUUAUUCAUAGAGACAGAGAGAGAGAGAGAGAGGCAGAGACACAGGCAGAGGGAGAAGCAGGAACCAUACAGAGAGCCUGACGAGGGACUUGAUCCGGGGUCUCCAGGAUCACACACCCUGGGAUGCAGGUGGCACUAAACCGCUGCGCCACCAGGGCUGCCCAGUAUCAGUAACUUGUAAUAGUAUUUACUCCAGAUACCUGCAUAUAUAUAACAAAGCUAAGGUUAACACAUUUAUACUUACCACUAAGAAACAACAUUGAAUGUAUAUAAACUCUUAACCUUUAUACUCUGGAGAUGUAAAUCUUUAAGGUAUGAACCAAUUACUUUUGGUCAUUUCUUCCAACUUAGGACUAAGAUUUGAGAACUGAAUUUCUUUUUCCAAAGAAAGAGGUCAGAGAGACAAAGAUCAUUUAAAACAUUUUAUUUUUUAAUAGGUUACCACUUGCAUAAGUCAGUGAUGUUUUCACCUUCUAAGCUGUAUUGUAUUUGUAAUGAUGAAUGUCAGUGAUAACUAAGAAGUUUAAACACCUGUAUAUUCUUUACAGGCCUGACAGUGUGUUUUGCUUACCAAUUUUCUGGCAAUAUCUCUCCUCACUACCUAUUUUCUGUGUGCUGGUUCCUAUGCUGUGACUAAGAAAAUCAGCAGCCUACUUCAGCCUUGUCAGUUCGUACCUCCCUCUAGGCAUAAGAGCAAUUUAGUCUCUUAAUUUUCACUUCUUUCUGGGUGUAUAAAACUCCAGCCUAAAAAAAAAAAAAAAAAAAAAAAAAA